This 66-nucleotide transfer RNA is filed under the name Semnopithecus vetulus (purple-faced leaf monkey). RNAcentral describes it as "Trachypithecus vetulus (purple-faced leaf monkey) tRNA-Thr". It matches the Rfam family "tRNA". From Rfam's summary of the family: Transfer RNA (tRNA) molecules are approximately 80 nucleotides in length. Their secondary structure includes four short double-helical elements and three loops (D, anti-codon, and T loops). The record is from RNAcentral. Lineage: Eukaryota; Metazoa; Chordata; Mammalia; Primates; Cercopithecidae.
GCCCUCGUAGUAUAAAUUUAAUACACCGGUCUUGUAAGCCGGGGAUGGAUAAUUCUCCCUAGGGCA